This 497-nucleotide ribosomal RNA is filed under the name uncultured bacterium. RNAcentral's name for it is "partial 16S ribosomal RNA". It matches the Rfam family "Bacterial small subunit ribosomal RNA", at positions 28 to 507 of the family's 1533-position model. The record is from RNAcentral.
GAUGAACGCUGGCGGCGUGCCUAAUACAUGCAAGUCGAGCGAACGGACGAGAAGCUUGCUUCUCUGAUGUUAGCGGCGGACGGGUGAGUAGCACGUGGAUAACCUACCUAUAAGACUGGGAUAACUUCGGGAAACCGGAGCUAAUACCGGAUAAUAUUUUGAACCGCAUGGUUCAAAAGUGAAAGACGGUCUUGCUGUCACUUAUAGAUGGAUCCGCGCUGCAUUAGCUAGUUGGUAAGGUAACGGCUUACCAAGGCAACGAUGCAUAGCCGACCUGAGAGGGUGAUCGGCCACACUGGAACUGAGACACGGUCCAGACUCCUACGGGAGGCAGCAGUAGGGAAUCUUCCGCAAAGGGCGGAAGCCUGACGGAGCAACGCCGCGUGAGUGAUGAAGGUCUUCGGAUCGUAAAACUCUGUUAUUAGGGAAGAACAUAUGUGUAAGUAACUGUGCACAUCUUGACGGUACCUAAUCAGAAAGCCACGGCUAACUACGUG